AUUUCAUGCUGAAUAUACCGGUUCUCGUUAGAUCACCGAAGUUAAGCAUCAUUGGGCGCGGUCAGUACUUGGGUGGGUGACCACCUGGGAACACCGCGUGCCGUU
Molecule: ribosomal RNA, 105 nt
Filed under: Caerostris darwini
Lineage: Eukaryota; Metazoa; Arthropoda; Arachnida; Araneae; Araneidae
Source: RNAcentral